UACGUAGGGUGCGAGCGUUAAUCGGAAUUACUGGGCGUAAAGCGUGCGCAGGCGGUUCGUUGUGUCGGUGGUGAAAUCCCCGGGCUUAACCUGGGAACCGCAUUUGUGACUGCAUAGCUGGAGUACGGCAGAGGGGGAUGGAAUUCCGCGUGUAGCAGUGAAAUGCGUAGAUAUGCGGAGGAACACCGAUGGCGAAGGCAGUCCCCUGGGCCUGUACUGACGCUCAUGCACGAAAGCGUGGGGAGCAAACAGG
This 253-nucleotide ribosomal RNA is filed under the name uncultured bacterium. Its description in RNAcentral is "partial 16S ribosomal RNA". It matches the Rfam family "Bacterial small subunit ribosomal RNA", at positions 524 to 776 of the family's 1533-position model. The record is from RNAcentral.